UACGUAGGGUGCAAGCGUUAAUCGGAAUUACUGGGCGUAAAGCGUGCGCAGGCGGUUUGGCAAGACAGAUGUGAAAUCCCCGGGCUCAACCUGGGAACUGCAUUUGUGACUGCAUAGCUAGAGUACGGUAGAGGGGGAUGGAAUUCCGCGUGUAGCAGUGAAAUGCGUAGAUAUGCGGAGGAACACCGAUGGCGAAGGCAAUCCCCUGGACCUGUACUGACGCUCAUGCACGAAAGCGUGGGGAGCAAACAGG
RNAcentral lists this ribosomal RNA (253 nucleotides) under uncultured bacterium. RNAcentral's name for it is "partial 16S ribosomal RNA". It matches the Rfam family "Bacterial small subunit ribosomal RNA", at positions 524 to 776 of the family's 1533-position model. The record is from RNAcentral.